This 584-nucleotide ribosomal RNA is filed under the name uncultured bacterium. RNAcentral describes it as "bacterial SSU rRNA". It matches the Rfam family "Bacterial small subunit ribosomal RNA", at positions 338 to 915 of the family's 1533-position model. The record is from RNAcentral.
CCUACGGGAGGCAGCAGUGGGGAAUAUUGGACAAUGGGCGCAAGCCUGAUCCAGCCAUACCGCGUGUGUGAAGAAGGCCUUCGGGUUGUAAAGCACUUAAGCAGGGAGAAAAAGUUAUAGGUUAAUACCCUAUGACCCUGAUGUUACCUGCAGAAUAAGCACGGCUAACUACGUGCCAGCAGCCGCGGUAAUACGUAGGUGGCAAGCGUUGUCCGGAAUCAUUGGGCGUAAAGCGCGCGCAGGCGGUCCCUUAAGUCUGAUGUGAAAGCCCACGGCUCAACCGUGGAGGGUCAUUGGAAACUGGGGGACUUGAGUGCAGAAGAGGAAAGCGGAAUUCCAAGUGUAGCGGUGAAAUGCGUAGAGAUUUGGAGGAACACCAGUGGCGAAGGCGGCUUUCUGGUCUGUAACUGACGCUGAGGCGCGAAAGCGUGGGGAGCAAACAGGAUUAGAUACCCUGGUAGUCCACGCCGUAAACGAUGAGUGCUAAGUGUUAGGGGGUUUCCGCCCCUUAGUGCUGCAGCUAACGCAUUAAGCACUCCGCCUGGGGAGUACGGUCGCAAGACUGAAACUCAAAGGAAUUGACG